Molecule: long non-coding RNA, 4847 nt
Filed under: Takifugu rubripes (torafugu)
Lineage: Eukaryota; Metazoa; Chordata; Actinopteri; Tetraodontiformes; Tetraodontidae
Description: lncRNA (ENSTRUG00000026472.1)
Source: RNAcentral
CGAUGGUCAACCCAAGAAGAAGUCUCUCUGUGAGGAAUCUUGGAGUAACUUUUGAUCAAAAUCUCUCCUUCAACUUACAUAUUAAAUUAGUCUCUAGAAGUGCCUUUUUUCACCUGAGGAACAUCACAGAAAACUACUGACCCACCAUGAUGCUGAAAAGUUAUUCCAUGCAUUUGUUACUUCCAGGCUGGACUAUUCUUUAUUAUCAGGGUGUUCAAACUCCUCUUUAAGAAGCCUCCAGUUGAUCCAAAAUUCUGCAACCAGGUUCUGACAGGUAUUGACAAAAGAGAUCACAUUACUCCUGUACUGGUGUCUCUUCAUUGGCUGCCCGUUAAAUUUAGAAUAAUUUUUAAAACCCUUCUUUUGACCUACAAGGUUCUCAGAGGCCUAGCUCCAUCCUACCUGGAGGAGCUAGUGACAACUUACCAACCCAAUAGACCGCUCUGUUCUCAGAAUGCUGGUCUACUUGUGGUCCCCAGAGUUUCUAGGGGUAGAAUGGGGGGCCGAGCAUUUAGCUACCAGGCCCCCUGCUGUGGAACCAGCUCCCUGUCCAGGCCCCCCUGCUAUGGAACCAGCUCCUUGUCCAGGUACGGGAGGCUGACUCCAUCGCUACUUUUAAGGUCAGACUCAAAACCUACCUCUUUGAAAAAGCUUAUUGUUACUAAUUCAGUAGUUCCAGUUACUAUCAUACUUAGGGGGUCGUCUAAUCGUUAGGUCACAUCUUCGUUAUGCUGUUAUAGGCCAAGGCUGCCGGGGUCCGGAAACAUGAUCACCUGACAGGCCUCUGUCACUCCACUGGGUCAUGGUUUCCUCUCCUCUCCUUUCCUCUCCUCAUCAAGCAGACUAGUUAUGCUGAUUCUUGUGUAGUUUUUCUGCUUCUCCCCCCCCCCCCCUCUAUUUAUUUACAGGUAUCGCCGCCCUCGGAGCUGCAUAAUGACCUCCGGCCCCGCUGAAGUGAUUGUGCAUCAUAUUUUUUGUGUGUGUGUUUCUGUGCCUCUCCUCUCCUCUCCUCUCCCCCUCCUUCUCCUCUCCCUCUCCUCUUCUUUCCUCUCCUCUUUCCCCUCCUCCUCCUUCUCCUCUCCUCUACCUCCCCUUCACUCUACUUCUCCUCUCCUCUCCUCUCCUCUCCUACCCUACCUAUCCUAUCCUCUACCUGUCCUCCCCUGUCCACAUUAGUGUCUAUAUAGUCCUAAAAGUGAGACAUGACCAGCCACUCAAAGCACUUCAUGACAAUCUGUGACAGCCACUGGGCCACAGAUUCCUGAAAACCUCGGGAUGGCGGCGAUGAUGGUGGUCAGCACCUUUGCCUGGGAGAGUGCUGUGUUAAAAAUGUCCAUCAGCACCUCUGAGUCAGUCCAUAACGAAGGAGAUUUUCAAGGCUUUAUUAUCUGCAGUGACCACCUCACCUCCUCAGCUGUCAGACUGAGCGGCACCUCAUCAGAAGAGGGGGAAGACGGGUGCAGGAAGAGGUGUUGGAAGCCUUGAAAAGGUCAAAGAAGCCAUUAAGAGCAUCAGGAGGAGAGAGGUCAUUGGGGCACUCGGCGUCCGCUCUUGUUGUAGUCAGUGAUGCAAUGUUUAUAUCACCGUUUUUGCAAUAAUGGAGUGUGGUGUGUGAUGACGCACGGGCAUAGAAAUGGGAACUGUAUACCCCACAGUGAAUGACAAUAUUAGCAGUGGUCUUGAAGCUGCAAGAUACUUACACCUUUAUUUUCUACCAGGUGGGGCAGCAGGUGUACCAGUUGCAGGAUUCAGGAUGAUGCUGAACAUGCAUAAUUUUUUGCAUGUGGUAUAGAAAUGGGUGGUGCAGAUGGUGCUGAUCUCAUUGAACCUGGUCCUGAUGGUUUUUUCUGUUCCUCAGCAGCACUGAGGUCCAGCAGAACCAGCAUAGAAACCAGUCCAUGAUCUGAAGCUAUAAGAAAAUCAUUAGUAACUUUAAGAAGUGCUGUUACUGUGCUGUGAUGAGCUCUAAAGCCUGACUGAAACACCUCAAACAGGCUGUUCCUCUGCAGGUGCUCCAGUAACCGAGUCACUACAACCUUCUCUAGAAUUUUAGAGAUAAAAGGAAGGUUGGAUAUUGGCCUAUAAUUUGCUGGUACGUCCGGAUCCAGUGACGUUUUUUUUUUUUUUUUUUAAGCAACAGCUUAAUCACUGCCACCUUGUAGGACCGGGGUAUAUAACCUGUCACUAAACAACAAUUGAUCUGGUCCAGGAUAGAACUGCCUAUCAAUGGUAAAAGAUCCUUCAACAGGUGUGUUGGGAUGGGAUCUUAAAGACACGUGGUGGUCUUGGAUUUCUGAAUUAGUGACGACGCCUCAGAAAAAUAUAUAGGACUGAAAGAGUUUAAGGGCUCAUUGGAGACCCUGUAUGUUCCCCCAGUCAGCACAUCUGGUGAUGGUCCAGUUGUUGGGAUAGCCUGGUUAGCUUUCUCUCUGAUAGCUAGAAAUUUAUCAUUGAAUAAGCUCAUGAAGUCUUCACCACUAAGGGAAGAAGGGAUAUGUGGAUCUAAAACACUGUGACUCUUAGUUAAUUUGGCCACAGUGCUGAAAAGAAACCUGGGGUUGCUCUUAUUCUUCUCAAUUAAAGAAGAAAAAUAAGCUGUUCUAGCCUGACGGAGGGCCUUUUUAUAAACUACUAGACCAGGGUGUUCACAUUGUUUCAGCAUGCGAGCUACUUACAAAAUGACCAAGUCAAAGUGAUCUACCCACCACAAAAAUGCAAAACAUCUCAUUUUCAAAUGUAUCGAGGAUUCUUUGUAUGUACAAUGUAUGUUGAUGUACCUAGCAUAACCGAAUGAGCCAGUUUUGCAAAACACACAUAAUUAACUAUUAACAUUUUUUUGUAAUUGCCUGAGUUUACUUUAAACUUGCACUGAAUUGAAUCAGCCAGGGAUGCAUAGUCUGGACAGCAGCUGCUGACAGCCAGCCUCAAGCACACUUCCAAAUGUUCAUCAGUCAUGGUGGAACAUAUUUGGACUUAAUAAUCUUCAUGUACUUAAUAAUCUUCAACGAACUUCGAAAAUGACAUCGUGAAAAAAGUCCACCUCCCAUUCCGUAUGAAAGUGAUAUGUUUUUGUCUUACUUGGUCCCGCUCCCUCAUUCAUUUUGAUGACCAUAAGCUUUAGCGAUGGCUUAAAAUCAGAGGUAAUUUGCUGAAUAGCUUAGUGCAUCUGACUGGUUGCCGUGUAUGUCAAUCAAGUAACGGGAUUGAUAAUAGGCUGACAUCGUAAGUUCUGCUGCACUUAGCGCCGUUGUUUGCGCUUGAUUGGUCAUCUGAAUGUCAAAUUCAGUUGUCAUCUAACUGGCUGCCCUGUAUAUAAAUCAAGUGAUGGGAUAAAUGAUAGGCUGAUAUUUUUUAAUGCCAUGCCGUGAUCGACCAGUACUACCUCUGCAAUCGACCGGUAGAUCGCGAUCGACGUAAUGAGCACCCUUGUACUAGACAUUCUUUCCAGGCUACAUGAGAGCUAUCUAUUUUACAAGAAUACCACUUCCUUUCUAGUCUUCCCACUCUGCUUGAGGGUCCUAAUAUGUGAAUUAUACCAGGGGGCACACCUCCUCUGAUUUACUAUUUUCUUUUUCAAGGGGGCAACAGAAUCACGUGUGAUUCUCAGUGAGGCUGCUGCACUUUCAGUAAUAGAGUCAACCUCUGCGGGACCAAGAUUAUAAUGAUUGAUCCCUGGGGAAACACACAGUGGUCCUGGGAUCAACGCAGGGAUCACAUCCUUAAACUUAGCUACAGCAUUAUCUGAAAGACAUCUGCUAUAGUAAGACUGUGCUCUGAACAUUGAAGAAUCUCUAAUAAUAAAUGUAAAAGUGAUCAAAGAAUGGCCUGACAGGAGUGGGUUCUGAGGGAACACUGACACAUGUUCUACCUCAACACCAUAAGUCAGAACUAGAUCUAAGGUGUGAUUGAAGCUAUGAGUUGGUUGGUUUAUCUGCUGGAGGAAACCAACUGACUCAAGUAAUGAAAUGAAGCCAUUUCUGAAGCUGUCAUUUAUAACAUCUAUAUAUAUAUAUAUAUAUAUAUUAAAGUCUCCAAUAAUAAUGACUUUGUCUGUUCCAAGGACCAAGUCAGAUAAGAAAUCAGAGAACUCAGAAAGGCACUUUGGAUUUCACCCAGCAGGGGGCCAAUAUACAACUACAAACUACAACUACAAAGUGGCUUUUCUGCCUUCCAGUUCAGAUGGGUGAUGCAGAGAGUCAGGCUUUCAAAUGAACUGGCACUAUGUUUUGGUCUAGGAUUACCUAAUAACUUGGAGUGAUAGAUUGCUGCCACUCCACCUCCUCGACCAGUAACACGAGAAACACGAUAAUUAAGAUGGGUAGGAAGAAUAGAUUCGUUGAAGCUAACAUACUACUCCUGAAGCCAGGUCUCAGACAAAAUAACUCAAUGUGAUGAUCCACUAUCAGGUCGUGCACUAACAGGGAUUUACACAAAAGAGAUCUAAUAUUUAAUAGUCCACAUUUAAUUGUGAUGUUAGUUUCUCCAAUUUGUGCUUUGGUAUUAAUUUUAAUAAGGAGUCGACUCCCAUGCCAGGCAGACGGCAUGCCGCACCCGCUGUUGUGGUUCUUGAACGUGACUCGUUUCUUCCCUCCUCCCUUCACCUGCAGGAGCGACUGCCAGGGGCGGGCCGAUCCCUGGGGAGCGCUGAGCCGCUGACGCACCUGCAGCUCGUUGCUUCGAUUCGGCAGCUACUUAAACUCCCCUCUCUUUGCCUCCUGUGCUGGAUUGUUUGUGUUUUUUGAAUCAAGCUCCAGCUCCCCGUGACUAUUAGCCCUUCGCAUUGUUUAUUCCUUUCGCCCAGUAAGUUUGUUUUGUGCUUUGUCACUUCUUUCUGUUGUUUCCUUUCA